Mus musculus (house mouse) is the source of this 776-nucleotide long non-coding RNA. RefSeq annotates it as predicted gene, 35302. The record is from RefSeq and is a predicted model, not a curated record. The transcript has 4 exons. NCBI's taxonomy places the organism in Eukaryota, Metazoa, Chordata, Mammalia, Rodentia, Muridae.
GCAACAUAAAAAGUAAAGGGUCCAGCAUCACAGAAAUCAAAUUUACCUCUAAUUCAAUGAUCCUUACAAUACCAAAGCCAUGGCAAGAGUUCCACAGUGGUUUGCGAUAUGGAAGGAGUUCAGAAGCAAAGCUGGAACAGCCCGUUCUUCACGUUGUGUCCCGUGGUAGUGCCUACAGAGGCAGGCAGCACAAAUCCAGUUAGUGAUGGCUCUGGUCUUGAGGGUGCCGUCUGCAUCCAGAUAACGCCAGCUGGAUCAGCUAGAGCCUGCUGACUCUGCAAGCUCCAUUUUGCUUUGUGCAUGGAGACAGGUGAGGGUUGGUAGCUGUUCAGGUAGAAGAGCUCCUGGUGAUGGAGGGGACACAGUGCCAGGGGCCCUGGGACCCCAGCUCUCAAGACUUCCCUUCCCCCACACCUCAUCUUCCUCGAGACACCUUUAAGGCACUGGAACAAGUCCGUCUGUGGUACUCUCCUGAUAUAAGAAGCUAUGACAGUCACGGUGUGAGCCUUGGCUCUGCGGUGGUGAGCAAGUAGCUUUGCCUUCCUUAAGGCCUUUUUCUUGUUUCAGAAGCAAGCAAUUUGUGCUUUCCAGUGCUGGUGUUAGCUCCAUCCUUCUCUCAUCGUGAGGUUGUCUCUCAUCAGCAUCCAAAAGGGCUAGAAAGAGUUAAAGCUUCCUAAAGUAGCCAACAUGGAAGAGCUGCCUCUGGCCAUUCCCUAACUAAUUCUCCCUAUGGCAAUGGCCUUCUCUGCUAGCCUCUCUUUCUGUCUUAAUGAAUU